UACGAAGGGGGCUAGCGUUGCUCGGAAUUACUGGGCGUAAAGGGAGCGUAGGCGGACAGUUUAGUCAGAGGUGAAAGCCCAGGGCUCAACCUUGGAAUUGCCUUUGAUACUGACUGUCUUGAGUACGGGAGAGGUGUGUGGAACUCCGAGUGUAGAGGUGAAAUUCGUAGAUAUUCGGAAGAACACCAGUGGCGAAGGCGACUACCUGGCCUGUUCUUGACGCUGAGGCGCGAAAGCUAGGGGAGCAAACGGG
Molecule: ribosomal RNA, 253 nt
Filed under: uncultured bacterium
Lineage: Bacteria
Description: partial 16S ribosomal RNA
Rfam family: Bacterial small subunit ribosomal RNA
Source: RNAcentral